GCCCGGCUAGCUCAAUCGGUAGAGCGUGAGACUCUUAGCUUACGAGUACACAAUCUCAAGGUUGCGGGUUCGACCCCCGCGUUGGGCU
Molecule: transfer RNA, 88 nt
Filed under: Akanthomyces lecanii RCEF 1005
Lineage: Eukaryota; Fungi; Ascomycota; Sordariomycetes; Hypocreales; Cordycipitaceae
Description: Cordyceps confragosa RCEF 1005 tRNA
Rfam family: tRNA
About the family: Transfer RNA (tRNA) molecules are approximately 80 nucleotides in length.
Source: Rfam by way of RNAcentral